RNAcentral lists this ribosomal RNA (498 nucleotides) under uncultured bacterium. RNAcentral describes it as "partial 16S ribosomal RNA". It matches the Rfam family "Bacterial small subunit ribosomal RNA", at positions 28 to 507 of the family's 1533-position model. The record is from RNAcentral.
GAUGAACGCUGGCGGCGUGCCUAAUACAUGCAAGUCGAGCGAACAGACGAGAGUGCUUGCACUCUCUGACGUUAGCGGCGGACGGGUGAGUAACACGUGGGUAACCUACCUAUAAGACUGGGAUAACUUCGGGAAACCGGGGCUAAUACCGGAUAAUAUUUAGCUUCGCAUGAAGCAAUAGUGAAAGACGGUUCUGCUGUCCCUUAUAGAUGGACCCGCGGUGUAUUAGCUAGUUGGUGAGGUAACGGCUCACCAAGGCGACGAUACAUAGCCGACCUGAGAGGGGGAUCGGCCACAGUGGGGCUGAGAGACGGCCCAGACUCCUACGGGAGGCAGCAGUAGGGAAGCGUCCGCACUGACGAAAGUCUGACGGAGCAAUGCCGCGUGAGUGAAGAAGGUGUUCGGAUCGUAAAACUCUGUUGUAAGGGAAGAACAAGUACGUUAGUAACUGAACGUACCUUGACGGUACCUUACCAGAAAGCCACGGCUAACUACGUG